Molecule: long non-coding RNA, 1179 nt
Organism: Cyprinus carpio (common carp)
Lineage: Eukaryota; Metazoa; Chordata; Actinopteri; Cypriniformes; Cyprinidae
Source: Ensembl
AUGUUUCUGCUCUCGUCAGCCAUCAGCAGCUUUCAUGAGGAACUGAUCCGACAACAGAGAACAUCCUUAUCUCACUCCAGCUGUCUCUGUCUGUCCACCUGUCUGUCUCCAUCUGCCUCUGUCUGUCUUUCCACCUGUCUGUCUCGAUCAGUCUCUGUCUGUCCACCUGUCUGUCUGUCUGUCUGUCUGUCUCUGUCUGUCCACCUGUCUGUCUCCAUCUGCCUCUGUCUGUCUGUCCACCUGUCUGUCUCGAUCAGUCUCUGUCUGUCUCUGUCUGUCCACCUGUCUGUCUCGAUCAGUCUCUGUCUGUCCACCUGUCUGUCCACCUGUCUGUCUGUCUCUGUCUGUCCACCUGUCUGUCUGUCUGUCUGUCUGUCUCCCUGUCUGUCUCGAUCAGUCUCUGUCUGUCCACCUGUCUGUCUGUCUGUCUGUCUGUCUCUGUCUGUCCACCUGUCUGUCUGUCUGUCUGUCUCUGUCUGUCCACCUGUCUGUCUGUCUCUAUCUUUCUGUCUGUCUCCAGUCUCUAUCUGUCUGUCUGUCUCCAUCUGCCUCUGUCUGUCUGUCUGUCUGUCUUUCUGUCUGUCCACCUGUCUGUCUGUCUGUCUGUCUGUCUCUGUCUGUCCACCUGUCUGUCUGUCUGACUGUCUGCCUCUGUCUGUCUUUCUGUCUGUCCACCUGUCUGUCUCUAUCUGUCUGUCUGUCUCCAUCUGCCUCUGUCUGUCUGUCCACCUGUCUGUCUCCAUCUGUCUGUCUCCAUCUGUUUUUCUGUCUGUCUGUCCACCUGUUUUUCUGUCUCCAUCAGUCUCUAUCUGUCUGUCCAUCUACCUGUCUGUCUGUCUGUCUGUCUGUCCACUUGUCUGUCUCCAUCAAUAUCUGUCUGUCUGUCCACAUGUCUGUCUAUCUCCAUCUGUCUCUGUCUGUCUGUCUGUCCACCUGUCUCUGUUUGUCUCCAUCAGUCUCUAUCUGUCUGUCUGUCUCCAUCUGUCUGUCUGUCUGUCCACCUGUUUUUCUGUCUCCAUCAGUCUCUGUCUGUCUGUCUCCAUGUGUCUCUCUGUCCGUCUGUCCACCUGUCUGUCUCCAUAUGUCUCUGUCUGUCUGUCUGUCUCCAUAUGUCUCGCUCUCUGUCUGUCCACCGGUCUGUCUCCACCUGUCUGUCUGUCUGUCUGUGGUGUGUCAUAG